This 254-nucleotide ribosomal RNA is filed under the name uncultured bacterium. Its description in RNAcentral is "partial 16S ribosomal RNA". It matches the Rfam family "Bacterial small subunit ribosomal RNA", at positions 524 to 777 of the family's 1533-position model. The record is from RNAcentral.
UACAGAGGUCUCAAGCGUUGUUCGGAUUCAUUGGGCGUAAAGGGUGCGUAGGUGGCGCUGUAAGUCGGGUGUGAAAUUUCGGAGCUUAACUCCGAAACUGCAUUCGAUACUGCGGUGCUUGAGGACUGGAGAGGAGACUGGAAUUUACGGUGUAGCGGUGAAAUGCGUAGAUAUCGUAAGGAAGACCAGUGGCGAAGGCGGGUCUCUGGACAGUUCCUGACGCUGAGGCACGAAGGUCAGGGGAGCAAACGGGG